RNAcentral lists this ribosomal RNA (435 nucleotides) under uncultured bacterium. RNAcentral's name for it is "bacterial SSU rRNA". It matches the Rfam family "Bacterial small subunit ribosomal RNA", at positions 28 to 465 of the family's 1533-position model. The record is from RNAcentral.
GACGAACGCUGGCGGCGUGCUUAACACAUGCAAGUCGAACGGUGAACCAGAGCUUGCUCUGGGGAUCAGUGGCGAACGGGUGAGUAACACGUGGGCAACCUGCCCCAGACUCUGGGAUAACCCCGGGAAACCGGAGCUAAUACCGGAUAUGACCACUUCGGACAUCCGAUGGUGGUGGAAAGUUUUUCGGUCUGGGAUGGGCCCGCGGCCUAUCAGCUAGUUGGUGGGGUAAUGGCCUACCAAGGCGACGACGGGUAGCCGGCCUGAGAGGGCGACCGGCCACACUGGAACUGAGACACGGUCCAGACUCCUACGGGAGGCAGCAGUGGGGAAUAUUGCACAAUGGGCGAAAGCCUGAUGCAGCGACGCCGCGUGAGGGAUGACGGCCUCGGUUGGUAACCUCUUCAUAGGACGAAGACGCAAGUAGACGGUACC